Molecule: ribosomal RNA, 501 nt
Filed under: uncultured bacterium
Lineage: Bacteria
Description: partial 16S ribosomal RNA
Rfam family: Bacterial small subunit ribosomal RNA
Source: RNAcentral
AUUGAACGCUGGCGGCAGGCUUAACACAUGCAAGUCGAGCGGGGGAAGGUAGCUUGCUACCGGACCUAGCGGCGGACGGGUGAGUAAUGCUUAGGAAUCUGCCUAUUAGUGGGGGACAACAUUUCGAAAGGGAUGCUAAUACCGCAUACGUCCUACGGGAGAAAGCAGGGGAUCUUCGGACCUUGCGCUAAUAGAUGAGCCUAAGUCGGAUUAGCUAGUUGGUGGGGUAAAGGCCUACCAAGGCGACGAUCUGUAGCGGGUCUGAGAGGAUGAUCCGCCCCACUGGGACUGAGACACGGCCCAGACUCCUACGGGAGGCAGCAGUGGGGAAUAUUGGACAAUGGGGGGAACCCUGAUCCAGCCAUGCCGCGUGUGUGAAGAAGGCCUUAUGGUUGUAAAGCACUUUAAGCGAGGAGGAGGCUACUUUAGUUAAUACCUAGAGAUAGUGGACGUUACUCGCAGAAUAAGCACCGGCUAACUCUGUGCCAGCCGCCGCGGUAA